This 554-nucleotide ribosomal RNA is filed under the name uncultured bacterium. RNAcentral's name for it is "bacterial SSU rRNA". It matches the Rfam family "Bacterial small subunit ribosomal RNA", at positions 570 to 1116 of the family's 1533-position model. The record is from RNAcentral.
UGUAGGCGGGCUAUCGGUACCUUGUGAAAUCCCACGGCUCAACCGUGGAGCUGCUGGGUAUACUGGUUGACUUGAGCCAGGUAGGGGAGAGCGGAACUCACGGUGUAGCGGUGAAAUGCGUAGAUAUCGUCAGGAACGCCGAAGGUGAAAGCAGCUCGCUGGGGCUGCCCUGACGCUGAGACACGAAAGCCUGGGGAGCGAACGGGAUUAGAUACCCUGGUAGUCCUGGCCCUAAACGAUGUCCGCUAGAUGUGGGGACUUUUGACGGAUUCCCGGUCGAAGCCAAAGUGCUAAGUGCACCGCCUGGGAAGUACGGUCGCAAGGCUAAAACUCAAAGGAAUUGACGGGGGCUCACACAAGCGGUGGAGCAUGUGGUUCAAUUCGAAGCAACGCGCAGAACCUUACCUGGGCUUGACAUGCCAGGAUUAUCCCCGUGAACGUGGGGUACGCCCCGCUCGGGGUACAGCUGGGACUGGUGCUGCAUGGCUGUCGUCAUGUCAUGUCGUGAUAUGUCGGGUUACGUCCCUUAACGAUCGACUCCUUUGCCCUUAGUU